UCCAGACUCCUACGGGAGGCAGCAGUGGGGAAUAUUGCACAAUGGGGGAAACCCUGAUGCAGCGACGCCGCGUGAGCGAUGAAGUAUUUCGGUAUGUAAAGCUCUAUCAGCAGGGAAGAAAAUGACGGUACCUGACUAAGAAGCCCCGGCUAACUACGUGCCAGCAGCCGCGGUAAUACGUAGGGGGCAAGCGUUAUCCGGAUUUACUGGGUGUAAAGGGAGCGUAGACGGCAGCGCAAGUCUGGAGUGAAAUGCCGGGGCCCAACCCCGGAACUGCUCUGGAAACUGUGAAGCUGGAGUGCAGGAGAGGUAAGCGGAAUUCCUGGUGUAGCGGUGAAAUGCGUAGAUAUCAGGAGGAACACCGGCGGCGAAGGCGGCUUACUGGACUGUAACUGACGUUGAGGCUCGAAGGCGUGGGGAGCAAACAGGAUUAGAUACCCUUGUA
RNAcentral lists this ribosomal RNA (445 nucleotides) under uncultured bacterium. RNAcentral describes it as "bacterial SSU rRNA". It matches the Rfam family "Bacterial small subunit ribosomal RNA", at positions 330 to 792 of the family's 1533-position model. The record is from RNAcentral.